Molecule: ribosomal RNA, 696 nt
Filed under: uncultured bacterium
Lineage: Bacteria
Description: bacterial SSU rRNA
Rfam family: Bacterial small subunit ribosomal RNA
Source: RNAcentral
GAACAACUUACCGAAAGGUGAGCUAAUGCCGGAUGAGUUAUAUAAGUGCAUGUUUAUAUAGGAAAAGUUGGGGAGACCUGACGCUGAAAGAUGGACUCGCGUCCCAUUAGCUAGUUGGUAGGGUAAUGGCCUACCAAGGCGACGAUGGGUAGCCGGCCUGAGAGGGUGGCCGGCCACACUGGGACUGAGACACGGCCCAGACUCCUACGGGAGGCAGCAGUGGGGAAUUUUGCGCAAUGCUCGUAAGAGUGACGCAGCGACGCCGCGUGAAUGACGAAGGCCUUCGGGUCGUAAAGUUCUUUCGACAGGGAAGAAAAUGCCUAUAAGUAACUGUGUAUGUAUUGACGGUACCUGUAUAAGCAGCCCCGGCUAACUCCGUGCCAGCAGCCGCGGUAAUACGGAGGGGGCGAGCGUUGUUCGGAGUGACUGGGCGUAAAGAGCACGUAGGCGGUGUUGUAAGUCAUUAGUCAAAGACUAGAGCUCAACUUUAGUAAGGCUAGUGAUACUAUAAUACUAGAGUAUCAGAGAGGAUUGCAGAAUUCCUGGUGUAGCGGUGAAAUGCGUAGAUAUCAGGAGGAAUACCGUUAGCGAAGGCGGCAAUCUGGCUGGAAACUGACGCUGAGGUGCGAAAGCGUGGGUAGCAAACAGGAUUAGAUACCCUGGUAGUCCACGCUGUAAACGAUGGAUGCUAGGUGU